Molecule: ribosomal RNA, 143 nt
Filed under: Florenciella parvula
Lineage: Eukaryota; Dictyochophyceae; Florenciellales
Description: 5.8S ribosomal RNA
Rfam family: 5.8S ribosomal RNA
About the family: 5.8S ribosomal RNA (5.8S rRNA) is a component of the large subunit of the eukaryotic ribosome.
Source: RNAcentral
AACUUUCAGCGACGGAUGGCUUGGCUCCCUCAUCGAUGAAAAACGCAACGAAAUGCGAUACGUAAUGCGAAUUGCAGAAUCCAGUGAAUCAUCCAAACUUUGAACGCAUCUUGCGCUUCCGGGAUAUUCCUGGGAGCAUGUGU